RNAcentral lists this unclassified non-coding RNA (336 nucleotides) under soil metagenome. RNAcentral's name for it is "partial contains 5.8S ribosomal RNA, internal transcribed spacer 2, and large subunit ribosomal RNA". The stretch from base 1 to 120 matches the Rfam family "5.8S ribosomal RNA", at positions 35 to 154 of the family's 154-position model. The record is from RNAcentral.
GAUGAAGAACGUAGCGAAAUGCGAUAAGUAAUGUGAAUUGCAGAAUUCAGUGAAUCAUCGAAUCUUUGAACGCACAUUGCGCCCGCCAGUAUUCUGGCGGGCAUGCCUGUUCGAGCGUCAUUUCAACCAUCAAGCCCCCGGCUUGUGUUGGGGACCUGCGGCUGCCGCAGGCCCUGAAAACCAGUGGCGGGCUCGCUGUCACACCGAGCGUAGUAGAUUUUCAUCUCGCUCAGGGCGUGCUGCGGGUUCCGGCCGUAAAAAGCCUUAUUUAACCAAGGUUGACCUCGGAUCAGGUAGGAAGACCCGCUGAACUUAAGCAUAUCAAUAAGCGGAGGA